Molecule: ribosomal RNA, 403 nt
Filed under: uncultured bacterium
Lineage: Bacteria
Description: partial 16S ribosomal RNA
Rfam family: Bacterial small subunit ribosomal RNA
Source: RNAcentral
GACGAACGCUGGCGGCGUGCCUAAUACAUGCAAGUCGAACGCAGUGGGGACGGGUGAGUAACACGUGGGUAACCUCCCAUCAGAGGGGAUAAAACUUGGAAACAGGUGCUAAACCGAUACUGAUGGAUGGACCCGCGGUGCAUGAGCUAGUGGGUGAGGUAACGGCUCACCAAGGCCACGAGGCAUAGCCGACCUGAGAGGGGGAUCGGCCACGCUGGGACUGAGACACGGCCCAGACUCCUACGGGAGGCAGCAGUGGGGAAUCUUCGGCAAUGGACGAAAGUCUGACCGAGCAACGCCGCGUGAGUGAAGAAGGUUUUCGGAUCGUAAAACUCUGUUGUUGGAGAAGCGGUAUCUAACCAGAAAGCCACGGCUAACUACGUGCCAGCCGCCGCGGUAAUAC